AACGAUUGACUUUCGAAACAUGACAGAGCAAU
This 32-nucleotide non-coding RNA is filed under the name Geobacter sulfurreducens KN400. The record is from RNAcentral. Lineage: Bacteria; Pseudomonadati; Thermodesulfobacteriota; Desulfuromonadia; Geobacterales; Geobacteraceae.